GUUGUGUCAUUAAAAUUAUGGCUGAGUCCAAAAGACUAGGCAGCUGCCUUAUCAGGCAACGACUUUGCAGGCAGCGUUUUUGCACGAAG
Sinocyclocheilus grahami is the source of this 89-nucleotide long non-coding RNA. RefSeq lists it as uncharacterized. Lineage: Eukaryota; Metazoa; Chordata; Actinopteri; Cypriniformes; Cyprinidae. The transcript has 3 exons. The record is from RefSeq and is a predicted model, not a curated record.